GAUUAUGGCUCAGGAUGAACGCUAGCGACAGGCUUAACACAUGCAAGUCGAGGGGCAUCACGGGAGUAGCAAUACAACUGGUGGCGACCGGCGCACGGGUGAGUAACGCGUAUGCAACCUACCUAUCAGAGGGGAAUAACCCGGCGAAAGUCGGACUAAUACCGCAUAAAACAGGGGCACCGCAUGGUGAUAUUUGUUAAAGAAAUUCGCUGAUAGAUGGGCAUGCGUUCCAUUAGGUAGUUGGUGAGGUAACGGCUCACCAAGCCGACGAUGGAUAGGGGAACUGAGAGGUUGGUCCCCCACACUGGUACUGAGACACGGACCAGACUCCUACGGGAGGCAGCAGUGAGGAAUAUUGGUCAAUGGGCGGGAGCCUGAACCAGCCAAGUCGCGUGAAGGAAAGAAGGAUCUAUGGUUCGUAAACUUCUUUUGCAGGGGAAUAAAGUGCAGGACGUGUCCUGUUUUGUAUGUACCCUGAGAAUAAGGAUCGGCUAACUCCGUGCCAGCAGCUGC
RNAcentral lists this ribosomal RNA (513 nucleotides) under uncultured bacterium. RNAcentral's name for it is "bacterial SSU rRNA". It matches the Rfam family "Bacterial small subunit ribosomal RNA", at positions 15 to 518 of the family's 1533-position model. The record is from RNAcentral.